Triticum urartu is the source of this 115-nucleotide non-coding RNA. The record is from Rfam. Lineage: Eukaryota; Viridiplantae; Streptophyta; Magnoliopsida; Poales; Poaceae.
AUAGUACUCCCUCCGUUUCAAAUUACUUGUCGUAGAAAUGGAUGUAUCUAGAACUAAAAUACAUCUAGAUACAUUCAUUUCUGCAACGAGUAAUUCGGAACGAAGGAAGUAGCUG